This 468-nucleotide ribosomal RNA is filed under the name uncultured bacterium. Its description in RNAcentral is "partial 16S ribosomal RNA". It matches the Rfam family "Bacterial small subunit ribosomal RNA", at positions 28 to 507 of the family's 1533-position model. The record is from RNAcentral.
GACGAACGCUGGCGGCGUGCUUAACACAUGCAAGUCGAACGGAAAGGCCCUGCUUUUGUGGGGUGCUCGAGUGGCGAACGGGUGAGUAACACGUGAGUAACCUGCCCUUGACUUUGGGAUAACUUCAGGAAACUGGGGCUAAUACCGGAUAGGAGCUCCUGCUGCAUGGUGGGGGUUGGAAAGUUACGGCGGUUGGGGAUGGACUCGCGGCUUAUCCGCUUGUUGGUGGGGUAGUGGCUUUCCAAGGCUUUGACGGGUAGCCGGCCUUGGAGGGUGACCGGCCACAUGGGUACUGCGAUACGGCCCAGUCUCCUACGGGAGGCAGCAGGGGGAAAUAUUGCGCAAUGGCGGGAAGCCUGUUGCAGCGGCGCCGCGUGCGUGAAGACCGCCUUCGGGGGGUAAACCGCUGUCGCCUGUGACGAAGAGUGAGUGACGGUAAUGAGUAAAGAAGCAACGGCUAACUACGUG